CACACUCACGCUAUAAAGCAGCACCUGCGUCCUCCUUGAAAGGCAUAUUAUUUUUCCACUGAAUUCCCACUACUGGUAACCUCUUUUCCCACUCUCCUCCUUUUCCCGACUUCUCUGUUUCCACCUAAUUCCUUUUCUGUUACUCUUCCAGGAUCGGCAUCUCCGACGUGCUCGCGAUUCUCCGCCAGCCCGCUUUGGCGUCAUUUAUCGCAAUUGUAUUUUCUGUUACCGUCUACGCGCGGCCCCUGUUCUUUCAAUUUCAUCAAUCUUCAAUAAACGAUCCAGUAUUUCCUUGCACCCGUCUCCUUUCCCAUUUCUUCCCGUCUCCGUCUGCAAUUCUCGCUCCACCGUGCCUCUCAACCCAUCAGAGAUUAUCCGUCAAGUUCGAUGUAUGGCCAGUCACUUCCGAAAUCACACAAUGAAUUCGAAAGUGGACUGGUCGUGGGUGCGCAUGUACAUGGAUGCACGCUCACUGAAGUUCAUGCCGAUGGCGAGGUGCGAUUGGAAAUACGGCCCAUCGGGGAUGGGCCGUAUUGGUUUCAGGUGCGGGCAGUGGCGUAUCCAGGAUUCCCCGGCAGGGGGGGCAAGAUUCGCCGAAGGUGAAAUUUUUUUUUUGCCGAAGAUCUCUCCUAUAUAUAUGUCAAGAUAUUAAAAUAGUGUAGUAGAACUUAAAAUUAAUUCAAGCUCACCGAAUAAAGCUCCAACAAUUUUAGUCUCGUUCAUCCGUAGUGUGUUUAACAAAUCGAAUCAAGUAAAGCUAAGCUCGGACUCAGCUCGCCAAGUGAGAAUAAGAUUUAGCUC
RNAcentral lists this long non-coding RNA (801 nucleotides) under Zostera marina. RNAcentral describes it as "long non-coding RNA (ZMAR_LNC001742)". The record is from RNAcentral. Lineage: Eukaryota; Viridiplantae; Streptophyta; Magnoliopsida; Alismatales; Zosteraceae.